RNAcentral lists this ribosomal RNA (117 nucleotides) under Acidobacteriota bacterium. The record is from RNAcentral. Lineage: Bacteria; Pseudomonadati; Acidobacteriota.
UCCGGUGAUUUUAGCGGAGGAGAGACACCUGUUCCCAUACCGAACACAGUAGUUAAGCCCUCUAGCGCCGAUGAUACUGCACGGUAGUUUGUGUGGGAAAGUAGGUCAUUGCCGGGA